Long non-coding RNA from Anguilla anguilla (European eel), 528 nucleotides. RefSeq lists it as uncharacterized. The transcript is spliced from 4 exons. The record is from RefSeq and is a predicted model, not a curated record. Lineage: Eukaryota; Metazoa; Chordata; Actinopteri; Anguilliformes; Anguillidae.
CUCUUUCCCUGUUUGAUCCAGAAGGAGGCAGUAAUGCAAUUAAAAAGGAUGCCAACAGCUGUAAAACACCAAAGAAGAAGAAUUUUCACUGUAGCACAAGCUAAAGAACAGCAUGAUUCAAGACCUCCUUUAAUCUUGUUCCAUCUGCCUGUGUGAUCCUUGGGGAAGCUUUGUUUAAGGAGGCAGUAAUGCAAUUAAAAAGGAUGCCAACUGCUGUAAAACACCAAAGAAGAAGAAUUUUCACUGUAACACAAGCUAAAGAACAGCAUGAUUCAAGACCUCCUUUAAUCUUGUUCCAUCUGCCUGUGUGAUCCUUGGGGAAGCUUUGUUUCCGACACUGAUGAAGAGCGGUGUCAUUUCGAACAGCGAACUGAUCCAGCUGAGGAUCAACUUCUUGCAUGCUGAUCAGGAAACACGGCCUAGUUCACCACUAGCUAAGAAGCCACGCAAGUGUUGCAAGAGUACAACCAGUCUCAUCUCAUCUUCCAUGCGUAUAGUUUGCUUCAAUAAAUGUUCUGAAAAUCAAAA